Molecule: long non-coding RNA, 282 nt
Filed under: Carica papaya (papaya)
Lineage: Eukaryota; Viridiplantae; Streptophyta; Magnoliopsida; Brassicales; Caricaceae
Description: long non-coding RNA (CPAP_LNC000398)
Source: RNAcentral
GGCCCUGCGCACGCAGCACCCAGCUUGCCAAGUUCCUGCGCGCAUGAUAGUAGGCCUAUUCGCUUGUAGACUAGCCUGUAGCACACUGGCCGGGCACUGCCAUCUCUGGUAGUGCACCAUCGCUGCCUUGGGCAGAGCAUUGCCACUGUCGAUGGAAGAGGUCCUCCUUCCUCAUUUUUCGUACCAAGAAUCUUUUUCUCCUCUCUCUUUACUGAAUUUUACCACUUAUCGUGAAUCUAAUAGUUCCAAAUUUCUAUGAAUUGCCCCCUUCCUUUCCUCUCC